RNAcentral lists this ribosomal RNA (207 nucleotides) under uncultured bacterium. RNAcentral's name for it is "partial 16S ribosomal RNA". It matches the Rfam family "Bacterial small subunit ribosomal RNA", at positions 568 to 774 of the family's 1533-position model. The record is from RNAcentral.
UACGUAGGCGGCUUUUUAAGUCGGAUGUGAAAUCCCUGAGCUUAACUUAGGAAUUGCAUUCGAUACUGGGAAGCUAGAGUAUGGGAGAGGAUGGUAGAAUUCCAGGUGUAGCGGUGAAAUGCGUAGAGAUCUGGAGGAAUACCGAUGGCGAAGGCAGCCAUCUGGCCUAAUACUGACGCUGAGGCACGAAAGCGUGGGAGGCAAACA